AUGUCUUGCUAGGCCAGCAGGAGCCAGGCCGUGGCCUGCUGACUGCAUCUGCCAGAUGACUACCAAUGUUUUUAUAGAUUGAGAGGAACUACGCUCAAGGAGCCUCAUGCAUACCUGGACCUGAUUUAAAUGAUGAGAUGCUGGACUUCAAGCAGAUGCUGUAAUGAUAUGAGGUUCUCAGGGACCUUGGGAAAUAGUAAAUGUAUUUUGCGUGUGAGAGGGACACAAAUCAUUGGAGGCCAAAAGGGUGAACUGAGGACAGAUUCUAGGGUAGCUCCCACAAUCCCCACCUCCUGGUUUCACCCUUGUGGGAUCUUGCCAUGAGUGUGGAUGGAACCUGUGAUUUGCUUCUAACUAGUAGAAUUUGGCAAAAAAUGAUGAGAUAUAUGUGAUUAUGUUUACAUGAUUAUAUUAUAUACGAUUCUGAGUACAUUGAGCUGCAUAGAGAGAGCACGGGGGCAAGUGAGAGCCAGGUGGGCACUGGAAAGCUCUGUGCCUCACUGAGGAAAAAUAACUAAACAUGGGCAAAAGAGAUCCAUGGAACCUGAGAGGCAAAGUGUUAUUAUAUGCAUUCU
RNAcentral lists this non-coding RNA (575 nucleotides) under Pan troglodytes (chimpanzee). The record is from RNAcentral. Lineage: Eukaryota; Metazoa; Chordata; Mammalia; Primates; Hominidae.